AGAGUUUGAUCAUGGCUCAGGACGAACGCUGGCGGCGUGCUUAACACAUGCAAGUCGAACGGGAAGACAUUUCUAACACCGAGUAGUUGAGGUGUGAUUAACACUUGGCUAUUGGGUGUUAGAAAUGGAUUCUAGUGGCAAACGGGUGAGUAACGCGUAGGCAACCUGCCCUUCAGAUGGGGACAACAUUUCGAAAGGAAUGCUAAUACCGAAUGACGUGCAUUCGGUCGCACGACCGAUGUACCAGAGGCCGGGCAACCGGUCACUGAAGGAUGGGCCUGCGUCUGAUUAGCUAGUUGGUGGGGUAACGGCCCACCAAGGCGACGAUCAGUAGCCGGUCUGAGAGGAUGAACGGCCACAUUGGGACUGAGACACGGCCCAAACUCCUACGGGAGGCAGCAGUGGGGAAUCUUCCGCAAUGGGCGCAAGCCUGACGGAGCAACGCCGCGUGAGUGAAGAAGGUUUUCGGAUCGUAAAGCUCUGUUGUCAGGGACGAGAGACUUGAUCAGGAAAUGGGUCAAGGAGGACGGUACCUGACGAGGAAGCCACGGCUAACUACGUGCCAGCAGCCGCGGUAAUACGUAGGUGGCGAGCGUUGUCCGGAAUUAUUGGGCGUAAAGGGAGCGCAGGUGGGAUUGUAAGUCAGUCUUAAAAGUUCGGGGCUCAACCCCGUGAUGGGAUUGAAACUAUAAUUCUUGAGUGCAGGAGAGGAAAGCGGAAUUCCUAGUGUAGCGGUGAAAUGCGUAGAUAUUAGGAGGAACACCAGUGGCGAAGGCGGCUUUCUGGACUGUAACUGACACUGAGGCUCGAAAGCGUGGGGAGCGAACAGGAUUAGAUACCCUGGUAGUCCACGCCGUAAACGAUGAAUGCUAGGUGUAGGAGGUAUCGACCCCUUCUGUGCCGGAGUUAACGCAAUAAGCAUUCCGCCUGGGGAGUACGGUCGCAAGACUGAAACUCAAAGGAAUUGACG
This 970-nucleotide ribosomal RNA is filed under the name uncultured rumen bacterium. RNAcentral describes it as "bacterial SSU rRNA". It matches the Rfam family "Bacterial small subunit ribosomal RNA", at positions 8 to 915 of the family's 1533-position model. The record is from RNAcentral.